UGGGGAAUAUUGGACAAUGGGCGAAAGCCUGAUCCAGCCAUGCCGCGUGUGUGAAGAAGGUCUUCGGAUUGUAAAGCACUUUAAGUUGGGAGGAAGGGCAUUAACCUAAUACGUUAGUGUUUUGACGUUACCGACAGAAUAAGCACCGGCUAACUCUGUGCCAGCAGUCGCGGUAAUACAGAGGGUGCAAGGGUUAAUCGGAAUUACUGGGCGUAAAGCGCGCGUAGGUGGUUUGUUAAGUUGGAUGUGAAAUCCCCGGGCUCAACCUGGGAACUGCAUUCAAAACUGACUGACUAGAGUAUGGUAGAGGGUGGUGGAAUUUCCUGUGUAGCGGUGAAAUGCGUAGAUAUAGGAAGGAACACCAGUGGCGAAGGCGACCACCUGGACUAAUACUGACACUGAGGUGCGAAAGCGUGGGGAGCAAACA
Molecule: ribosomal RNA, 427 nt
Filed under: uncultured bacterium
Lineage: Bacteria
Description: partial 16S ribosomal RNA
Rfam family: Bacterial small subunit ribosomal RNA
Source: RNAcentral